RNAcentral lists this ribosomal RNA (471 nucleotides) under Mastigoniscus sp. 3007 SB-2021a. RNAcentral describes it as "partial 16S ribosomal RNA". It matches the Rfam family "Archaeal large subunit ribosomal RNA", at positions 1916 to 2666 of the family's 2987-position model. Lineage: Eukaryota; Metazoa; Arthropoda; Malacostraca; Isopoda; Haploniscidae. The record is from RNAcentral.
CUCUAACCCCGGGGUUAGUAGACUCUGCUCAAUGAUUAAUAAAUAGCCGCAGUAUUUUAACUGUGCUAAGGUAGCAUAAUAAUUAGGCUUUUUAUAAAAGUCUGGUAUGAAAGAGCUGACGACCUUUGAGCUUUCCUGGCCUAGUGUUAUAAAUUUAUUUCUAAGUAAAAAAGCUUAGCUUCCUAGAAAGACGAUAAGACCCUAUAAAGCUUUACUAAUAAUAAUAAUAUCAGAAGUUCAUGAGGUUAAUUUAGUUGAGCUGGGGCGGCAAUUAAAAUUCUUUAAUGGAGUUAACAAAAUUUUUGAGAAGCUGGAUCUAAUAAGAGGUAGAAUAAGCUACUUUAGGGAUAACAGCGCAAUCUUUUUAUAGAGAACUUAUCGAUAAAAAGGACUUGCGACCUCGAUGUUGAAUUGGGGGGCCUAAAUUAAGCAGAAAUAAUUUAAGGGAGUCUGUUCGACUUUUAAUCCCCC